RNA transcript from Colossoma macropomum (tambaqui), 2894 nucleotides. It is a transcript of the gene named septin 6, with no coding region annotated. The transcript is spliced from 11 exons. The record is from RefSeq and is a predicted model, not a curated record. Lineage: Eukaryota; Metazoa; Chordata; Actinopteri; Characiformes; Serrasalmidae.
UCCCCUUGCCUCUCUGCUGUGUGAGCUCGGCUGUUUCCUCUUCGAGCGUUUUCAGCCAGAGAGGCGAACCAUGGCGGCUACUGAGAUCGCGAGACAAGCGGGAGAGGGUGUACGUGCUGUCCCACUCUCUGGCCAUGUUGGCUUUGACAGCAUGCCGGACCAGCUGGUCAACAAGUCUGUUAACCAUGGCUUCUGCUUCAACAUCCUCUGUGUCGGAGAGACAGGGUUGGGGAAGUCCACUCUUAUGGACACUCUGUUUAACACCAAGUUUGAGGGUGAACCAACACAGCACAACCAGCCAGGAGUGCAGCUCAAGUCCAACACGUACGAGCUGCAGGAGAGCAACGUGCGCCUCAAGCUCACCAUUGUGAACACAGUUGGCUUUGGAGACCAGAUCAACAAAGAGGACAGUUACAAACCUAUUGUGGAGUUCAUCGACACUCAGUUUGAAGCUUACCUUCAGGAAGAGCUGAAAAUCAAACGCACCCUCCACAACUAUCAUGACUCACGCAUCCAUGCCUGCCUGUACUUCAUCGCCCCCACUGGACACUCCUUAAAGUCCCUGGACUUGGUGACCAUGAAGAAAUUGGACAGCAAGGUUAAUAUUAUUCCCAUCAUUGCCAAGUCUGAUGCUGUCUCAAAGAGUGAACUGGCUAAGUUCAAAAUCAAGAUCACCAGUGAGCUGGUCAGCAAUGGAGUCCAGAUCUACCAGUUCCCCACUGAUGACGAGACUGUGGCAGAGAUCAACUCCACAAUGAACGGCCAUUUGCCAUUCGCAGUGGUGGGAAGCACUGAGGAAGUGAAGAUCGGGAACAAGAUGGUGAAAGCACGGCAGUACCCCUGGGGAACUGUCCAGGUGGAGAACGAGAACCACUGUGAUUUUGUGAAGCUGAGGGAGAUGCUGAUCCGGGUGAACAUGGAGGAUCUGAGGGAGCAAACCCACACGCGCCAUUAUGAGCUCUACCGCCGCUGCAAACUAGAGGAGAUGGGCUUCAAAGACACAGACCCUGACAGCAAACCUUUCAGUCUGCAGGAGACGUAUGAGGCCAAGAGAAAUGAGUUUAUGGGUGAGCUGCAGAAGAAGGAAGAGGAGAUGAGGCAGAUGUUUGUCCAAAGAGUGAAGGAGAAAGAAGCUGAGCUGAAGGAGGCGGAGAAGGAGCUGCAUGAAAAGUUUGACCGUCUAAAGAAGCUGCACCAGGAUGAGAAAAAGAAGCUGGAGGAUAAGAAGAAAGCUCUUGAUGAUGAACAGAACAUCUUCAAGCAGAAGAAGACGGCAGCUGAGCUACUGCAGUCUCAGGCCCAGCAGGCAGGGGGCUCCACCACACUCAAGAGGGACAAAGAGAGGAAAAAGAAUGAUGGGUGUGACCAGAGCUGAAGUAUCGUUCUUUAAUUUGGGCCAACCUGUGUUCUCUGGUGGGUCUUGUGCUGCGGCUCGCUACAGCCUCCCUGCUCACUGCUCUUCUUUUAAAUCUGUCUUGGCCACCUGUCUGAAGAGGGGAUUGCAGCUUCCACGAGAACUAAAGCACCUAUUUUCCUCUUCCUGUCUCUCUCUGCCAGCCUUUUUUAUUAUUAUUUUGAACGUUUCAAAACGUCCUCGCCGUCUGCUCAGUCAAACAGAGCCUUAUGUGGGCUUCACAAGGUGUUUUUCGCAAUAAGCAUUAACUCUCUUUCCUAAUUACGGCAUGCCAAGCAAAGUCCCACACUAAUAUUUUUUACAGAUUUUGUGAAAAAUGCCAGAACCAAAGUUCUGGGAGUAAAACAGCAUGAAGGAGACCUAAAAGACAUUCUUUGCUGUGAAAACAUUAGCUUUUAUACAUGAGACAUAAAUACAUAUUGCCUUGCAUAGUAAGCUUACAUGUAGGCCUCAGUCUUUCACAUUAGCACAGGAAUCGUCUGGAUUUCUCUUGUGAGAAUGUGAUUGUAUGAGUGAACAUGGAUUUCCUCUGAAAAAAAAAUGAUGCAAAGAACAAAACUGUGCAGAUGAAAUACAUACAGGUUAAUGUUUCCUUACUACACACUAUGUGUUUAAACUUAAAGAAGUAAAGGACAGGCAAGUUCUUUUUUUCUACAACUUGAAAACAUUGACUGUCUGGCUGUGAGAUAUAAAGACCCAAAGAAAGAUUUAGUUUGAAGUGUUGUCAAAUAAUAUAAAAGACCUAUUUAACUUCUAUCUUGAAACCAUGUGAUAAGACUCAAAGUUGUUGAUGAAAAAUGUAAUUACAAUUAUUUAAAUUUGGUCCAUUUCAAGACUGAGGACUAAUAACAAUAUUGAUAGUGUCCUCUAAUUUGGUGAAUUUGAAGGCUGUAGUUUAAAAAAGCACUUCUAAAUACCAUGUAGAUCACUUUCAGUCCCUUUUCAUUUAAACUUCACCUUUUGACAGCCUAAUCUGCCCUUUGCAUGUCUUUUCACAUUUUCUUUUGUUUUUACUAUAAAUUUAUUUCAAAGCCUUUUUCAGUGUCAAAAAAUGCUCUCUAUAUUGGCUUGUUUUUCUCUUGCGUAUUUAUUCCAGGUACAUGUGCAGUUGUAUCUGCUUGACAAAUUUCAACAGAUUUUGCCAAAUAUUACAUUUAGAUAGAUUAUAGUUUUGGCAGUUUUGUUCUAAAUAAGUCAAAUGGCAGAUACAGAUAUUCAUCCAUAUACAUAUAAUUUAUAAGGAUCUAUUUUGUGUAUUGAAGUAGAGACGUGUCUUCAUGAAAAAUAAUAUUGUUGGGAUGUGAUGGUUUUCGCUGUGUACAACAUCAAGACUCUAGGCUCCAUUUUUCUAGUAUCUUCAUACCUGCCUUUCAUUGUCCGCUCCCUCCGCCCCUGUCAUAACGCAAAGUUGUGAAAUAUUUAAUUGUAGUGAGAUUUCAUUGGUGUACAUUUUCAAUAAAACUACAGUGAAAACAACUGA